Molecule: ribosomal RNA, 487 nt
Filed under: uncultured bacterium
Lineage: Bacteria
Description: bacterial SSU rRNA
Rfam family: Bacterial small subunit ribosomal RNA
Source: RNAcentral
AGAGUUUGAUCCUGGCUCAGGAUGAACGCUAGCGGUGCGCCUAACACAUGCAAGUCGAGCGAGAAGAUGGAGUAGCUUGCUACAAAGUUGGAAAGCGGCGAACGGGCGAGUAACACGUUGGUAUCUGCCCCUUGGUCAGGGAUAGCCAGUCGAAAGACUGAUUAAUACCGGAUAGUCUCUUCGGAGUAAAGAUUUAUUGCCAAGGGAGGAACCUGCGUCCUAUCAGCUAGUUGGUGAGGUAAAAGCUCACCAAGGCAAUGACGGGUAGCGGGUGUGAGAGCACGGCCCGCGACAUCGAAACUGAGACACUGUUCGGACUCCUACGGGAGGCUGCAGUAACGAAUCUUCCGCAAUGGGCGAAAGCCUGACGGAGCAAUGCCGCGUGUGGGAUGAAGCGUCUAUGACGUGUAAACCACUGUCAGGGAAUAGAAACAAUGAUCGUUCCCAAAGGAAGUGGCGACUAACUCUGUGCCAGCAGCCGCGGUAA